UCCUCUAAAAAUCAGAAGACUCACAGAGAGAAUCUCCGAGAUGCUCUGGAAGAACAAUGGCCAAGCAAAAUUCUCCCGGAGGACAGAGUCUGUGGCAGUCUUUCUGGGUGACCAGGAACUUUUCAAAUGUAGAGGAGCCUUUAGAAGGAAGCCUUGAGCAUGAGGACAGACCCCCCUCAUCCAACCACCACCUGACUCUGUGUGAACCUGGAACUGUUAGAAUGUCUGUGCUGUGAUAAAAGGUCAUCUCCCUACAAUGUUAUGAUACAGACCUCAAACCUACAAACAUGAGGAACUUCUGCCUCCAGGUUAACUGCUUACCCACUGUACAAGACACGUUACACACAGUCCAGGAGGCGGAGCUUCUGAGAUAUCUAGAAACAGCUUAGAGGCAAAAUGACAAAAUAAAGCAGCAACAACAAAUAAAACCAAUCUUCUCGAACUGGC
This 447-nucleotide long non-coding RNA is filed under the name Homo sapiens (human). Its description in RNAcentral is "non-protein coding LINC01255:4". The record is from RNAcentral. Lineage: Eukaryota; Metazoa; Chordata; Mammalia; Primates; Hominidae.